GCCUCUGUCUGGGUUUACUGUGUUCGAUUUAAAAGGGACGACAGCGUCGCAUUUUCACAAGGAUGUCUGUCUUGUUUUCCUCAAGAACUCCCGCAGACUUCAACAUGAUAAUGGACCCUAGCAAUCCACAGAAUCAAAUGGGAAAUCUAACUUAGACAUACAUUUCAAAAAUCCCUUUUAGCAAGGCACUUUUAUCAACAGAAAUCCGUACUGCAUUUGCACCUCGCCCAGAAUCAGGCAUGCACGCAUUUUGAGAGAAGCCUGUUGGAGAGGAACCACGAAGGAAAGAAAACGUCAGAGCGAAUAUUGUGCGCUAUUUAUAAUAAUCUGCAUGUUUGUCUUCAGUAAUUAUUAAUGUUAUAAUUGUUGAUCCUUUAUCACAAAGCCUUAGGUAACUCACCAUAUGACUAACCUCCCUCUUGAUUAGAUUUACCAGGGCCUCUGAGGCUUCUAUUUGAAUCGCCACAUGGAAUCAACUACAGCAGGCAAAUCUUAUUUAUCAAAUAUUGGAGAUUUAUGUAUGCUGAGAGCAGCGUAGGCUGUUUACUUUGCUAUUGUGCCAUGCUGCGGCUGAAGAUUGCUCAUCACUCAGCGGUGGCCCAAGUCAACUCCACGAAAUCAACCCUUCAAGGUCCCUCAGCAGUAGGCGCAUUAUACAUUUUGCCUAUUACUGGUACCCAGAAGAUACUAAAAAUAUUGAAUGUGGUUCUGCUUGAAGGAGAGUCAACAAAGAGAACCGGUAGAGAUGUGCAAACACUCUCAUGAAGCUAUAAGGAGACGGCAUGGCACUGAGGUGAUUCUCAUGGUUAUUCAUAUCACAGCCCUCAAGUCUCACGCCAUCCGUCCAGCAUCCUCUAAAUACAGCUGUGGGAGUGGUCUGGAUAUCCAAAGUAACAUAAUGGGGCCUUUUUAUAUGGUGUAUGAAUAAAAACAUAAAACAUGAAUAAAUGCACAUAACUGUCACCAUUCCUU
Carassius auratus (goldfish) is the source of this 972-nucleotide long non-coding RNA. RefSeq lists it as uncharacterized. Lineage: Eukaryota; Metazoa; Chordata; Actinopteri; Cypriniformes; Cyprinidae. The record is from RefSeq and is a predicted model, not a curated record. The transcript is spliced from 3 exons.